AAUAUUGCACAAUGGGGGAAACCCUGAUGCAGCGACGCAGCGUGAGCGAAUAAUGCCUUCGGGUCGUAAAGCUAUGUCCUAAGGGAAGAAACGGACGGUACUUUAGGAGGAAGCACUGGCUAAAUACGUGCCAGCAGCUGCGCUAAUACGUAGGGGGCGAGCGUUAUCCGGAAUUAUUGGGCGUAAAGGGUGCGUAGGAGGCCUUUUAAGUCAGAUGUGAAAGGCUACGGCUUAACCGUAGUUAGCAUUUGAAACUAAAAGGCUUGAGUGCAGGAGAGGAGAGUGGAAUUCCUAGUGUAGCGGUGAAAUGCGUAGAUAUUAGGAGGAACACCAGUGGCGAAGGCGACUCUCUGGACUGCAACUGACGCUGAGGCACGAAAGCGUGGGGAGCGAACAGG
RNAcentral lists this ribosomal RNA (398 nucleotides) under uncultured bacterium. Its description in RNAcentral is "partial 16S ribosomal RNA". It matches the Rfam family "Bacterial small subunit ribosomal RNA", at positions 360 to 776 of the family's 1533-position model. The record is from RNAcentral.